GUGAGGAAUUUUCCGCAAUGGGCGAAAGCCUGACGGAGCAAUGCCGCGUGAGUGAUGAAGGCCUUAGGGUUGUAAAGCUCUUUUACCCGGGAUGAUAAUGACAGUACCGGGAGAAUAAGCUCCGGCUAACUCCGUGCCAGCAGCCGCGGUAAUACGGAGGGAGCUAGCGUUAUUCGGAAUUACUGGGCGUAAAGCGCACGUAGGCGGCCUUGUAAGUUAGAGGUGAAAGCCUGGAGCUCAACUCCAGAAUUGCCUUUAAGACUGCAUCGCUUGAAUCCAAGAGAGGUGAGUGGAAUUCCGAGUGUAGAGGUGAAAUUCGUAGAUAUUCGGAAGAACACCAGUGGCGAAGGCGGCUCACUGGCUUGGUAUUGACGCUGAGGUGCGAAAGCGUGGGGAGCAAACAGG
This 405-nucleotide ribosomal RNA is filed under the name uncultured Sphingomonas sp. RNAcentral describes it as "bacterial SSU rRNA". It matches the Rfam family "Bacterial small subunit ribosomal RNA", at positions 354 to 776 of the family's 1533-position model. Lineage: Bacteria; Pseudomonadati; Pseudomonadota; Alphaproteobacteria; Sphingomonadales; Sphingomonadaceae. The record is from RNAcentral.